This 472-nucleotide ribosomal RNA is filed under the name uncultured bacterium. Its description in RNAcentral is "partial 16S ribosomal RNA". It matches the Rfam family "Bacterial small subunit ribosomal RNA", at positions 28 to 507 of the family's 1533-position model. The record is from RNAcentral.
GACGAACGCUGGCGGCGUGCUUAACACAUGCGAGUCGAACGCUGAAGCUUGGUGCUUGCACUGGGUGGAUGAGUGGCGAACGGGUGAGUAAUACGUGAGUAACCUGCCCUUGACUCUGGGAUAAGCCUGGGAAACUGGGUCUAAUACUGGAUACGACAUGUCACCGCAUGGUGGUGUGUGGAAAGGGUUUUACUGGUUUUGGAUGGGCUCACGGCCUAUCAGCUUGUUGGUGGGGUAAUGGCUCACCAAGGCGACGACGGGUAGCCGGCCUGAGAGGGUGACCGGCCACACUGGGACUGAGACACGGCCCAGACUCCUACGGGAGGCAGCAGUGGGGAAUAUUGCACAAUGGGCGGAAGCCUGAUGCAGCGACGCCGCGUGAGGGAUGACGGCCUUCGGGUUGUAAACCUCUUUCAGCACGGAAGAAGCGAAAGUGACGGUACGUGCAGAAGAAGCGCCGGCUAACUACGUG